Ipomoea nil (Japanese morning glory) is the source of this 515-nucleotide long non-coding RNA. RefSeq lists it as uncharacterized. The transcript has 2 exons. The record is from RefSeq and is a predicted model, not a curated record. Lineage: Eukaryota; Viridiplantae; Streptophyta; Magnoliopsida; Solanales; Convolvulaceae.
GUUCUGAUAGAUUGGAUACUAAGGUGGUUAUAAUCUGAUUGGUAUUGGAAAGAAAUCCUUAUGCACAAUUCUUUAGAAACUUAAAGGAUAUCGAUGACUUCAUAGAUUAUGGGAUUGUAUCAUGUUCUGAUUCUGGCUUGGAUUAGCAUGUAUCACAGAGCUUUCCUUCACAGCCAUGUAUGCUUUGGUCAUUUAUGAGUUUCUGAAAGAAUUUACCAUUGCCACAAAGGAACGGAACGGCAACAUACCAAUGCAUCAUUUUUGUUGAUCAACAGUAUGAGGGGUUGCGAUUAUUCUUCUAUGUUUUGUGUGAUGUGGAAAUGCAGUGCGUGUGAAGCAAAAGUGUCGUUAUUACGAAGAUGAUGAUGAUGGCCAUUGAACUGGGAAUGAUGGAGAACCAACCUCAUACAAAAGAGAUUGGUUUAAGAAUAUUGCUUUGCUUUGGAGAUUGGUGUCUAAAUUUUGUCUUCCCUUUUGAAGCAAAUGUUAAUUAGUUGAACUAUAUUUAUUGAAAA